AUACGGAGGGUGCAAGCGUUAUCCGGAAUCACUGGGUUUAAAGGGUGCGUAGGUGGCUUAAUAAGUCAGAGGUGAAAGGCCGUAGCUUAACUAUGGGACUGCCUUUGAUACUGUUGAGCUUGAGUUUGGCUAAGGUAGGCGGAAUGCGUCCAUGUAGCGGUGAAAUGCAUAGAUAUGACGUAGAACACCGAUUUGCGAAGGCAGCUUACUAGACCAUAACUGACGCUGAGGCACGAAAGCGUGGGUAGCGAACAGGAUUAGAUACCCUGGUAGUCCCACGCCCUAAACGAUGUUUACUCGAUGUCUGGAUUGUAGAUUUGGGCGUCCAAGGGAACCGAUAAGUAACCACCUGGGGAGUACGUUCGCAAGAAUGAAACUCAAAGGAAUUGACGGGGUCCGCACAAGCGGUGGAGCAUGUGGUUUAAUUCGAUGAUACGCGAGGAACCUUACCUAGGCUAUAAUGUGAUCGCCUAAUGAUGAAAGUUAUUAUUCCC
RNAcentral lists this ribosomal RNA (494 nucleotides) under uncultured Saprospiraceae bacterium. RNAcentral describes it as "bacterial SSU rRNA". It matches the Rfam family "Bacterial small subunit ribosomal RNA", at positions 523 to 1018 of the family's 1533-position model. Lineage: Bacteria; Pseudomonadati; Bacteroidota; Saprospiria; Saprospirales; Saprospiraceae. The record is from RNAcentral.